Pongo pygmaeus (Bornean orangutan) is the source of this 406-nucleotide long non-coding RNA. RefSeq lists it as uncharacterized. NCBI's taxonomy places the organism in Eukaryota, Metazoa, Chordata, Mammalia, Primates, Hominidae. The record is from RefSeq and is a predicted model, not a curated record. The transcript has 3 exons.
ACAGGUGAAAGAUCUUGAUACCACACAGGUAUAAUUACAAUCUGCAAACCUACUCAAGGGGAGUUGCAGGUGAAGAUAAUGAAGUCAGCCUCAUUCCAUUCCCUAAUCAGAUUCUCAGCCAAAGACAAACAGCAACAUAUGGGACUUUAAGGGUCUCGCUCUGUCACCCAGGCUGGAGUUCACUGGCAUGAUCAUGGCUCACUGCAUCCUCCAUCUCCCGGACUCAGAGACAGAGCUUCACCGUGUUGCCCAGUCUGGUCUUGAACAUCUGGACUCAAGUUAUCUGUCACCUUGGCCUCCCAAAGUGCUGGGAUUACAGGCAUGAGCCAAAGCACCUUGCUUAUUCUUUUGUUUACUAUUAAAAUAUAAGCAUUUUCUAGUCAAUAAAAAUUAACCAAGAACAUAA